GUGUUGGGCUGGGCAGUAGCAGUGUGUUGGGCUGGGCAGUAGCAGUGUGUUGGGCUGGGCAGUACAGUAGCAGUGUGUUGGGCUGGGCAGUACAGUAGCAGUGUGUUGGGCUGGGCAGUACAGUAGCAGUGUGUUGGGCUGGGCAGUACAGUAGCAGUGUGUUGGGCUGGGCAGUACAGUAGCAGUGUGUUGGGCUGGGCAGUAGCAGUGUACAGUAGCAGUGUGUUGGGCUGGGCAGUACAGUAGCAGUGUGUUGGGCUGGGCAGUAGCAUAGCAGUGUGUUGGGCUGGGCAGUAGCAGUGUGUUGGGCUGGGCAGUACAGUAGCAGCAGCAGUAUGUUGGGCUGGGCAGUACAGUAGCAGUGUGUUGGGCUGGGCAGUACAGUAGCAGUGUGUUGGGCUGGGCAGUAGCAGUGUGUUGGGCAGUACAGUAGCAGUGUGUUGGGCUGGGCUGUACAGUAGCAGUGUGUUGGGCAGUACAGUAGCAGUGUGUUGGGCUGGGCAGUACAGCAGUGUGUUGGGCUGGGCAGUACAGUAGCAGUGUGUUGGGCUGGGCAGUACAGUAGCAGUGUGUUGGGCUGGGCAGUACAGUAGCAGUGUGUUGGGCUGGGCAGUACAGUAGCAGUGUGUUGGGCUGGGCAGUAGCAGCAGUGUGUUGGGCUGGGCAGUAGCAGUGUGUUGGGCUGGGCAGUACAGUAGCAGUGUGUUGGGCUGGGCAGUACAGUAGCAGUGUGUUGGGCUGGGCAGUACAGUAGCAGUGUGUUGGGCUGGCAGUACAGUAGCAGUGUGUUGGGCUGGGCUGUACAGUAGCAGUGUGUUGGGCUGUACAGUAGCAGUGUGUUGGGCUGGGCAGUACAGUAGCAGUGUGUUGGGCUGGGCAGUACAGUAGCAGUGUGUUGGGCUGGGGUACAGUAGCAGUGUGUUGGGCAGUACAGUAGCAGUGUGUUGGGCUGGGCAGUAGCAGUGUGUUGGGCUGGGCAGUACAGUAGCAGUGUGUUGGGCUGGGCAGUAGCAGUGUGUUGGGCUGGGCUGUACAGUAGCAGUGUGUUGGGCUGGGCAGUAGCAGUGUGUUGGGCUGGGCUGUACAGUAGCAGUGUGUUGGGCUGGGCUGGGCAGUAGCAGUGUGUUGGGCUGGGCUGUACAGUAGCAGUGUGUUGGGCUGGGCAGUACAGUAGCAGUGUGUUGGGCUGGGCUGUACAGUAGCAGUGUUGGGCUGGGCUGGGCAGUAGCAGUGUGUUGGGCUGGGCAGGCAUACAGCAGUGUGUUGGGCUGGGCAGUAGCAGUGUGUUGGGCUGGGCAGUAGCAGUGUGUUGGGCUGGCAGUACAGUAGCAGUGUGUUGGGCUGGGCAGUACAGUAGCAGUGUGUUGGGCUGGGCAGUAGCAGUGUGUUGGGCUGCUGUACAGUAGCAGUGUGUUGGGCUGGGCAGUAGCAGUGUGUUGGGCUGGGCAGUAGCAGUGUGUUGGGCUGGGCUGGGCAGUAGCAGUGUGUUGGGCUGGGCUGGGCAGUAGCAGUGUGUUGGGCUGGGCAGUACAGUAGCAGUGUGUUGGGCUGGGCUGUAGCAGUGUGUUGGGCUGGGCAGUACAGUAGCAGUGUGUUGGGCUGGGCAGUACAGUAGCAGGAACUGGCUGUACUGGCUGAGCAGUGGUGACAUUCUGGGUGUUGAUCACCUACUGAGUAGUGAUCACGUCAGCCUGGGUAACCAUGACAUCAUUCUGGGUAACCAGGACAUCAUUCUGGGUAACCAGGACAUCAUUCUGGGUAACCAUGACAUCAUUCCGGGCCGGCGAUGACAUCAACACUUGUCUCCCAGUUUGAGAAAGCGCUGUGAUUUUU
Oncorhynchus tshawytscha (Chinook salmon) is the source of this 1833-nucleotide long non-coding RNA. The record is from Ensembl. Lineage: Eukaryota; Metazoa; Chordata; Actinopteri; Salmoniformes; Salmonidae.